Molecule: ribosomal RNA, 445 nt
Filed under: uncultured bacterium
Lineage: Bacteria
Description: bacterial SSU rRNA
Rfam family: Bacterial small subunit ribosomal RNA
Source: RNAcentral
GUAGGGAAUAUUGGGCAAUGGAGGCAACUCUGACCCAGCCAUGCCGCGUGCAGGAUGACGGCCCUCUGGGUUGUAAACUGCUUUUAUACGGGAAGAAAAAAUACUACGUGUAGUAUACUGACGGUACCGUAAGAAUAAGGAUCGGCUAACUCCGUGCCAGCAGCCGCGGUAAUACGGAGGAUCCAAGCGUUGUCCGGAUUUAUUGGGUUUAAAGGGUGCGUAGGCGGAUCUUUAAGUCAGUGGUGAAAGCCUGCAGCUUAACUGUAGAAUUGCCAUUGAAACUGAAGAUCUUGAAUGUGGUUAAAGUAGGCGGAAUGUAUCAUGUAGCGGUGAAAUGCUUAGAUAUGAUACAGAACACCGAUAGCGAAGGCAGCUUGCUGAACCAUUAUUGACGCUGAGGCACGAAAGCGUGGGGAGCGAACAGGAUUAGAUACCCGGGUAGUCC